RNAcentral lists this long non-coding RNA (2011 nucleotides) under Zonotrichia albicollis (white-throated sparrow). RNAcentral describes it as "lncRNA (ENSZALG00000008981.1)". Lineage: Eukaryota; Metazoa; Chordata; Aves; Passeriformes; Passerellidae. The record is from RNAcentral.
UGCGGCUGGCCUGCAGGCGCUUCUCUUAAAGCCGCCCUUGUUAUCGUCCAAGGUUGCUCGCCUUAGCGUCUAGAUUGUCUUGUGCUUCUUCCCACAGAAAUUGCUCCAGGCCGUGAUUUACAGAAUGCUGUGUGUCAGCAAUUGGAAACCUGUGUGGGAUUUACUUGUGUCUGGCCUUUUAUCCUGAAUUCCUUCUGCAUUCACAUUCAGCUUCCACUAUUGCCGUUUUCAUCACCUUAUCGUUCUCUUUCUGUAUUUUCCUCAACUUUCCCUGUCUUUCUUUAUUGCAAUUUCUUUCUUCCUUAUCUCUUUAUGCUUCCCAUGCAGUCUUCUGUAAAUUAUAAAUAAAAUGUAUGGAUUUCACAUCUGAGGGUGAGGCACGCCACAUCUACAUGUUAGACAUCUACGUGGACUAGGAGACCAGACCCAGCUCUCAGCAGGAGAAACAAGCUCAUGCUGAAGCCUACUUUCUCCUUACUGAUUGUGGGAAACAGAACUUCCACUGAUGGUUACAAAGCACUGAGAUAUGUUGUAAUCCCUCAGGAACCAUUCUUGGAGAGGACCAUUUCUAAUCAGGAAGAGGAAAUGCAACUGCCAGACAUAAGCGUUAUCCCUAACAGAAGAGUAAUCUUUCUGGCUGUUACGUUCCAGACCUUCUGCUUCGAGGUCAUCACCCAAAUGACCAUGCCUGAAAAUUAUCAUGUUUUCCCAGCAGCAUUGGGCCUCUUUCCCCUGAGCUCUAACUAACCCUCAUUUUGGGAGCUGAAAUGGGAUUUGGGUGGUACAUUCAAAAGUUCAGGUGUAUGGGUCCUGGUGCAACUCGGAGAGGCCAGGGGUCUGUGCAAGUGCAAAUCUUACUCUUCAGUAAUCCUGAAAAGGAAAGAAAGACUAUUUUCCUUGCAUCCUUGUUCUGUCCUCAAAUAAGAACACCAGAGGAGACCACAGAAAGCAUCAAGCCAUCCCAUGUCAUUUCUGCAACUGAAACAGAGGGGCAGCAUCAGGCAUUAUUUAGCAGCAAUGCUGGAAAGCACAUGUAAGAGGUGUGUGUAAUAGUCAGAUACUGAAUAGAUCCAGGGGCACUUUGAUAAAUUGAAAAAGGCAAGAAUUCCAUACUCAGAUAUUUUGUGGUAUUCAUGUGAACCCAGAAAACUCAUCUGUCUUUGCUAAAUAUUUGUAUGGCACAUGAUCUAGAAGGUUGGAAAGACAAAUUGAUGGCAUCAGUAUUAGCAGUCUUUUAAAAAAUGUUUCUGGGAAAGAAAAGGGAUUAAUGAACCAUCAUUUUGAAUACUCUUAAAUUUUGACUUUGUCUAGUACAGUUGUUCCAGAGCAAUUAUUUGCCCCCUGUUUUAAUUCAGCUGAGCUAAAGUAAACUCAUAUUUGAGACAGAAGAGAUGGGCAAUAUAAUUGUAUCUUUUUACAUCAGGCAUCACUCUCUAGCUAGUGUUUGGUCUCUUAUUAUCUUAAAAUUGGCAUUUUUUGUAGCAUUGUAGAAAGGAAAUGUUCAUAGUAUGAUUAUGAUAUUGAAGAUUAUAUAUGCUGAUAGCUUUGUGGAAGUUACACAUUUCAAUGUAUGGUAUAAAUGUUCUGGCAUUCAUGACUUCUCAGGUAAAAGUUUAUUCAUUACAAAGAGGAUGUGAAAGAGCAUGGUAGCAAUUUUUAAGCAUCUGUUGUGUGAAAAUUCUUACUGCAGAGAAAAUUACAGUUAUUCCCAAAAAAAGGCGUUCACAUGCAAGGUUAUUAAGAACAAGCUGGUGCUGUGUAAAUCCAUACAAAGACUUGCCAUUUAGUCAAUACUUGAACCAUCACUGUGCACACCAAACCUAUGCCAGUUGCUGCAUUAUCAGCAUCUUGAGCAAUUAAGUAAUCACUUUGUCACUGCUUGAGCUUAAAAAACUCUUCAUAAAGAUGAUUAUCAUUAUGUUGUAGAUAAACCACAUUUUUAUCCAUGUUAUGAAAAGGAAUAUUACAUAAGUAUAAAAUUGUACUAGAAUAAAUGCAUGUUGUUCCAGCA